Molecule: ribosomal RNA, 627 nt
Filed under: Entoloma sp. JAB-2014
Lineage: Eukaryota; Fungi; Basidiomycota; Agaricomycetes; Agaricales; Entolomataceae
Description: eukaryotic LSU rRNA
Rfam family: 5.8S ribosomal RNA (bases 224-377)
Source: RNAcentral
AACUUGGUUAGGUUGCUGCUGGCUCUUAGGAGCAUGUGCACGCCGACUCCAUUUUUAACCACCUGUGCACCUUGAGUAGACCUGAAUGUAUGUCGAGGAAACUCGGUUUGAGAAUUGCUGUGUUUACAUGCCGGCUCUUCUUGAUUUCAGGUCUAUGUUUUCACAUACCCCAUACGAAUGUAUUUGAAUGUCGCAAUAGGCCUUGUGCCUUUAAAAUAAAUACAACUUUCAACAACGGAUCUCUUGGCUCUCGCAUCGAUGAAGAACGCAGCGAAAUGCGAUAAGUAAUGUGAAUUGCAGAAUUCAGUGAAUCAUCGAAUCUUUGAACGCACCUUGCGCUCCUUGGUAUUCCGAGGAGCAUGCCUGUUUGAGUGUCAUGAAAUUCUCAACCUUUCAACCUUCGUGGUUAGUCAGGCUUGGAUUAUGGAAGUUGCUGGCUCUCCNGUCAGCUCUUCUCAAAUGUAUUAGCAAAGACCUUUGCUGACCAUCUUUGGUAUGAUAAUUAUCUAUAUCAUUGACGAUCAGUGUCCUUUCACAAGGGAGAUCUUGCUUCGAAUAGUCUUAAUUGACAACUUGACAACUUUGACCUCAAAUCAGGUAGGACUACCCGCUGAACUUAAGCAUAUC